GUCGUAUCGGUUAGAUCGGGAUACUCAUCAAAUAAUACUGAAAACCGAGAAAGCAUCUUUUGCCAAUGGCGGGCCACAUUCUCCGCAAGGAGAUAGCAGUAAUGCCGGUGGAUUACAAAGGCGGGGAGCCCUCAAAACAUAUACAUUCGGAGUUUUCAUCACAUCAUCGGUACGACCCCU
RNAcentral lists this small RNA (180 nucleotides) under uncultured Prevotella sp. RNAcentral's name for it is "Bacteroidales-1 6S-Bacteroidales RNA suggested". It matches the Rfam family "Bacteroidales-1 6S-Bacteroidales RNA suggested". Lineage: Bacteria; Pseudomonadati; Bacteroidota; Bacteroidia; Bacteroidales; Prevotellaceae. The record is from RNAcentral.